RNAcentral lists this transfer RNA (73 nucleotides) under Patescibacteria group bacterium. RNAcentral describes it as "tRNA-Thr". It matches the Rfam family "tRNA". From Rfam's summary of the family: Transfer RNA (tRNA) molecules are approximately 80 nucleotides in length. The record is from RNAcentral.
GCCGAGAUAGCUCAGUCGGUAGAGCAGCUCACUUGUAAUGAGCAGGUCGUCGGUUCGAUCCCGACUCUCGGCU